This 363-nucleotide transfer-messenger RNA is filed under the name Escherichia coli. It matches the Rfam family "transfer-messenger RNA". Rfam says of the family: Bacterial tmRNA, also known as 10Sa RNA or SsrA, is named for its dual tRNA and mRNA-like properties. Its role is to liberate the mRNA from a stalled ribosome. RNAcentral also lists the same sequence under 1 other name. The record is from RNAcentral. Lineage: Bacteria; Pseudomonadati; Pseudomonadota; Gammaproteobacteria; Enterobacterales; Enterobacteriaceae.
GGGGCUGAUUCUGGAUUCGACGGGAUUUGCGAAACCCAAGGUGCAUGCCGAGGGGCGGUUGGCCUCGUAAAAAGCCGCAAAAAAUAGUCGCAAACGACGAAAACUACGCUUUAGCCGCUUAAUAACCUGCUUAGAGCCCUCUCUCCCUAGCCUCCGCUCUUAGGACGGGGAUCAAGAGAGGUCAAACCCAAAAGAGAUCGCGUGGAAGCCCUGCCUGGGGUUGAAGCGUUAAAACUUAAUCAGGCUAGUUUGUUAGUGGCGUGUCCGUCCGCAGCUGGCAAGCGAAUGUAAAGACUGACUAAGCAUGUAGUACCGAGGAUGUAGGAAUUUCGGACGCGGGUUCAACUCCCGCCAGCUCCACCA